This 608-nucleotide ribosomal RNA is filed under the name Pteridomonas danica. RNAcentral describes it as "partial Bacterial large subunit ribosomal RNA". It matches the Rfam family "Bacterial large subunit ribosomal RNA", at positions 4 to 631 of the family's 2925-position model. The record is from RNAcentral. Lineage: Eukaryota; Dictyochophyceae; Pedinellales.
UAAGUUACUAAGGGCACACGGGGGAUGCCUAGGCUCUCAGAGGCGAAGAAAGACGUGAUAAGCUGCGAUAAGCUACGAGGAGGGGCAAAUACCUUUUGAUUCGUAGAUUUCUGAAUGGGGAAACCUAGCUGGUUGAAGACCAGUUAUCCGCAAGGAGGCAAACGCGCUGAACUGAAACAUCUAAGUAGGCGCAGGAAGAGAAAACAAUAGUGAUUUCCGUAGUAGCGGCGAGCGAAGUGGAAAUAGCCCAAACCAUGAUUGUUUCGGCAAUUAUGGGGUUGUAGGACUGGGACGUCCGAACUUAAGCAUAGUAGAAUCAGUUGGAAAGCUGAGCGUUAGAGGUGAAAGCCCUGUAUAUGAAAUGUUUGAUGUAGGUACCAGUAUCCUGAGUAGGGCGGGACAUGUGAAAUCCUGUCUGAAUCUGCCAGAACCAUCUGGUAAGGCUAAAUACUCCUGAGAGACCGAUAGCGAACGAGUACCGUGAGGGAAAGGUGAAAAGAAUCCCGAAAGGGUUGUGAAAUAGAGCAUGAAAUCAUUAAUUUACAAACAGUAGAAAAAUAAUUUAUAGUUUAACUGCGUUCCUGUUGAAGAAUGAGCCGGCGACUUAU